AAUUGGUCAGGCUUCUUGCAGUCUGCAUUCAAAUAUGGGUGGGGUCAAGCUACAAAAGAUAGACCAGCUGGAAAUCCUGGAAGCUGAGUCAGGGAACUGUGCCUAGAGACUGGGAACAGACAAACACAAAACAAGUCAGCCCAUCCAGCAGUCCCUGUGGCACAGCCAGGAUAGUGAAUUGGAAUAGGAUGCAAUCUCUGAUGCCAAAAAUGACACUUUUACCCUGCUGAAUGAGGCUGGUCUCAGUUUUCAUGAAGCUCUUCUGGAAUUUUUGGACAUAGACAACAGAGAUGGAGCAGCAGUGAGCUGUGGGUCUUGGAAAAAGGUUUUGUUUUUCAGAUGCUUCUAUCAAAGGCAAGAAUCUCUGAAUAAUGUGAAAUGGGGGAAUUUUAAGAAAUGGAAACAUAUUGGUUAUGAAGAAUGAAGCCCAGGGACAAGUGACUAUGUGGUCUUUGAGAAACAGUAGCAGCAGGAAAGAAGAAAAAGUCUGGCAGCUAAUUGGAUAAGAGGGCAAGACUAUAAUCAUCCUUAUUGUUGCUGCUUUGAAGUUGAAA
This 554-nucleotide long non-coding RNA is filed under the name Vombatus ursinus (common wombat). RNAcentral describes it as "lncRNA (ENSVURG00010016869.1)". The record is from RNAcentral. Lineage: Eukaryota; Metazoa; Chordata; Mammalia; Diprotodontia; Vombatidae.